RNAcentral lists this transfer RNA (71 nucleotides) under Ovis aries (sheep). It matches the Rfam family "tRNA". From Rfam's summary of the family: Transfer RNA (tRNA) molecules are approximately 80 nucleotides in length. Their secondary structure includes four short double-helical elements and three loops (D, anti-codon, and T loops). Further hydrogen bonds mediate the characteristic L-shaped molecular structure. tRNAs have two regions of fundamental functional importance: the anti-codon, which is responsible for specific mRNA codon recognition, and the 3' end, to which the tRNAs corresponding amino acid is attached (by aminoacyl-tRNA synthetases). tRNAs cope with the degeneracy of the genetic code in two manners: having more than one tRNA (with a specific anti-codon) for a particular amino acid; and 'wobble' base-pairing, i.e. permitting non-standard base-pairing at the 3rd anti-codon position. Lineage: Eukaryota; Metazoa; Chordata; Mammalia; Artiodactyla; Bovidae. The record is from Rfam by way of RNAcentral.
UCCUGGCUGGCUCAGUGGUAAAGAGUCUGCCUGCAAUGCAGGAGGCCCAGGUUCAAUCUCUGGGUCAGGAA